AUCUUCCAUGCAGUCGAGCGGCAGCGCGGGGCAACCUGGCGGCGAGCGGCGAACGGGUGAGUAACAUAUCGGAACGUAUCCAUAAGUGGGGGACAACCUAGCGAAAGUUAGGCUAAUACCGCAUACGCUCGAGAGAGGAAAGUGGGGGAUCGCAAGACCUCACGCUUUAGGAGCGGCCGAUAUCAGAUUAGCUAGAUGGUGAGGUAAAGGCUUACCAUGGCGACGAUCUGUAGCUGGUCUGAGAGGAUGAUCAGCCACACUGGGACUGAGACACGGCCCAGACUCCUACGGGAGGCAGCAGUGGGGAAUUUUGGACAAUGGGGGCAACCCUGAUCCAGCCAUUCCGCGUGAGUGAAGAAGGCCUUCGGGUUGUAAAGCUCUUUUGUUCGGGACGAAACGGUUAAGGUUAAUAACCUUGACUACUGACGGUACCGGAAGAAUAAGCACCGGCUAACUACGUGCCAGCAGCCGCGGUAAUACGUAGGGUGCGAGCGUUAAUCGGAAUUACUGGGCGUAAAGCGUGCGCAGGCGGUUUUAUAAGCCAGAUGUGAAAGCCCCGGGCUCAACCUGGGAAUGGCAUUUGGGACUGUAAAGCUGGAGUAUGGCAGAGGAGACUAGAAUUCCUGGUGUAGCAGUGAAAUGCGUAGAUAUCAUGAGGAAUACCGAUGGCGAAGGCAGGUCUCUGGGCCAAUACUGACGCUCAUGCACGAAAGCGUGGGGAGCAAACAGGAUUAGAU
RNAcentral lists this ribosomal RNA (737 nucleotides) under uncultured bacterium. RNAcentral describes it as "bacterial SSU rRNA". It matches the Rfam family "Bacterial small subunit ribosomal RNA", at positions 48 to 783 of the family's 1533-position model. The record is from RNAcentral.